RNAcentral lists this ribosomal RNA (492 nucleotides) under uncultured bacterium. RNAcentral describes it as "partial 16S ribosomal RNA". It matches the Rfam family "Bacterial small subunit ribosomal RNA", at positions 29 to 507 of the family's 1533-position model. The record is from RNAcentral.
AGUGAACGCUGGCGGUAGGCCUAACACAUGCAAGUCGAACGGAAGCACAGUAAGAGCUUGCUCUUACGGGUGGCGAGUGGCGGACGGGUGAGGAAUACAUCGGAAUCUACUUUUUCGUGGGGGAUAACGUAGGGAAACUUACGCUAAUACCGCAUACGACCUACGGGUGAAAGCAUGGGAUCUUCGGACCUUGCGCGAUUGAAUGCGCCGAUGUCGGAUUAGCUAGUUGGCGGGGUAAAGGCCCACCAAGUCGACGAUCCGUAGCUGGUCUGAGAGGAUGAUCAGCCACACUGGAACUGAGACACGGUCCAGAGGCCUACGGGAGGCAGCAGUGUGGAAUAUUGGACAAUGGGCGCAAGCCUGAUCCAGCCAGACCGCGUGGGUGAAGAAGGCCUUCGGGUUGUAAAGCCCUUUUGUUGGGAAAGAAAAGCAGCAGGUUAAUACCCCGCUGUUCUGACGGUACCCAAAGAAUAAGCACCGGCUAACUUCGUG